GAUUUCUGGUUUGGCGCGCCUGGCCCGCCACGGUUACGUGUGUGAGUGCCGGGACGCGCCUGCCAUCCUUCUAGUGAACUAUUCUGCCCUUCAUUGGGUGGGAUAGGUAGCUAGAUCUUUUACUUUGAAAAAAUUAGAGUGUUUAAAGCAGGCGUUUGCUAUGAAUACAUUAGCAUGGAAUAAUAACUUAGGACUUCGGUUCUAUUUUGUUGGUUUCUAGGACUGAAGUAAUGAUUGAUAGGGAUAGUUGGGGGUGCUAGUAUUCAGCGGCCAGAGGUGAAAUUCUCGGAUUCGCUGAAGACUAACUUAUGCGAAAGCAUU
Molecule: ribosomal RNA, 321 nt
Filed under: uncultured Cercozoa
Lineage: Eukaryota; Cercozoa
Description: SSU rRNA
Rfam family: Eukaryotic small subunit ribosomal RNA (bases 104-321)
Source: RNAcentral